GACGAACGCUGGCGGCGUGCUUAACACAUGCAAGUCGAACGGUAAGGCCCUUCGGGGUACACGAGUGGCGAACGGGUGAGUAACACGUGGGUGAUCUGCCCUGCACUUCGGGAUAAGCCUGGGAAACUGGGUCUAAUACCGGAUAGGACCAUGGACUUCACGGUUUGUGGUGGAAAGCUUUUGCGGUGUGGGAUGGGCCCGCGGCCUAUCAGCUCGUUGGUGGGGUAAUGGCCUACCAAGGCGACGACGGGUAGCCGGCCUGAGAGGGUGUCCGGCCACACUGGGACUGAGAUACGGCCCAGACUCCUACGGGAGGCAGCAGUGGGGAAUAUUGCACAAUGGGCGCAAGCCUGAUGCAGCGACGCCGCGUGAGGGAUGACGGCCU
RNAcentral lists this ribosomal RNA (385 nucleotides) under uncultured bacterium. RNAcentral's name for it is "bacterial SSU rRNA". It matches the Rfam family "Bacterial small subunit ribosomal RNA", at positions 28 to 417 of the family's 1533-position model. The record is from RNAcentral.